UACAGAGGGUGCGAGCGUUAAUCGGAAUUACUGGGCGUAAAGCGUGCGUAGACGGUAGCGUAAGUCAGAUGUGAAAGCCCCGGGCUCAACCUGGGAAUGGCAUUUGAGACUGCUCUGCUCGGGUGCGGAAGAGGGAAGCGGAAUUUCCGGUGUAGCGGUGAAAUGCGUAGAUAUCGGAAGGAACACCAGUGGCGAAAGCGGCUUCCUGGUCCGACACCGACGUUCAGGCACGAAAAGCGCGGGGGAGCAAAACAGG
This 256-nucleotide ribosomal RNA is filed under the name uncultured bacterium. RNAcentral describes it as "partial 16S ribosomal RNA". It matches the Rfam family "Bacterial small subunit ribosomal RNA", at positions 524 to 776 of the family's 1533-position model. The record is from RNAcentral.